Molecule: long non-coding RNA, 445 nt
Filed under: Jatropha curcas
Lineage: Eukaryota; Viridiplantae; Streptophyta; Magnoliopsida; Malpighiales; Euphorbiaceae
Description: long non-coding RNA (JCUR_LNC001476)
Source: RNAcentral
AAGGGGAAGGCUACCAUUUGUAUAGGUUGCUUGCCAAUCAAACUUGGACUGAACUUGAACUUCUUUCAUCGACCAGUUGUUGGAAACUUUUGGGGUUUAAAAAAUGACUAUAGCAGAAAUAAUGGCAGUAUGAACAAAGACAGCCUGCAUAAGUUUAGCAUUUGGGAACUCAGAAAAAAAAAGUUUGUAUUCAUUUCUAAUGUACUGAAUGUUGAGUCAGAUUUUAAGCAGUUUUUUAGAUUCUGCUUAGGCAAUCUCAAAGUUUCUUAAAGACUUAGAUAAUGUAUAAGCAAUCGUUUAAAUAAUAGUUAACAAGGAACCUUGGCUUAAAGACACAAGUCAAUUGUUCCUAUAAAGAAAUUCUCACCCUUGUUUUUCUCUGUUAUGCCAUUUUUCCCUUUUCCUACGAAGAAAUUCUCAGCAUUUUUUUUAAUGUAUAAUUUCC